RNAcentral lists this unclassified non-coding RNA (742 nucleotides) under Amphimedon queenslandica. RNAcentral describes it as "protein arginine N-methyltransferase 1-like, transcript variant X1". The record is from RNAcentral. Lineage: Eukaryota; Metazoa; Porifera; Demospongiae; Haplosclerida; Niphatidae.
GUGCUCAUUGAAGUUGUUGCCGUUACUUACGAGGAGCCCCGCCCUCAUGAAACAGAUGAGGGAGAUGAUGUUAGCAGGUGUUGUGUUGAAGCUAAAAUAAAAAUAAAAUCUUCUAUUGAUAGUGUCAGUGCCUCUAUUGAUUGCUCUUUUAGUUGAAUUUUAUAGUAUUCAGGAGGUUGACUUGACCUUUGUGUGUUCCCAUGACCUUUUGACCCCUUAAACUGAAGCACAUAUCAUGACCCAUAGGAUUGACCACACCCUCUCUCUGCCUCUCGGACUUUUUUGCAUUCCAACAAAACCACAGGAUAGGCAGCAUAAAGGUCUUGUUGGAUACUUUGUCAUUGGGUUUGAGGUUCCCUCUUAUCCUGUGUACUUCAGUACUAGUCCACACGAUACACCCACUCACUGGCGUCAGAGGAUAUUCUUCCUCAAUGAACCCAUACAAGUUCAAACAGGUCCUUUAUUGUGUAGUAGUAGUAUCAGUUGCUUUAAGAACAAGGAUUCUUAGAUUACUCGAUAUCAAGAUAAAGAUUUCCACUCUUUUAAGAAUUUCAAGUAUUAUACAAGAACACAUACACACACUGUUAUUGUGCUUUACAAAUUCUUCUUGCUUAAUACCAUAUAAGAUGAAAUGUUGAUGGGGAUUUUAAAUUGGCGGAUUGACGGAUUUAUAUAAAAUUGCCAAAAUAAAAUCCGCAAGCAAUAAUUCCAUUCAUGUGUGUGACCACACCCACAUUAAUUU